Molecule: ribosomal RNA, 462 nt
Filed under: uncultured bacterium
Lineage: Bacteria
Description: SSU rRNA
Rfam family: Bacterial small subunit ribosomal RNA
Source: RNAcentral
AGAAUCAACGCUGGCGGCGUGCCUAACACAUGCAAGUCGAACGAGAAAGUGGAGCAAUCCACAAGUAAAGUGGCGCACGGGUGAGUAACACGUGACUAACCUACCCUUGAGUGGGGGAUAACCUAGAGAAAUCUGGGCUAAUACCGCAUAAUACCUUCGGGUCAAAGGAGCAAUUCGCUUAAGGAGGGGGUCGCGGCCGAUUAGUUAGUUGGCGGGGUAAUGGCCCACCAAGACUAUGAUCGGUAUCCGGCCUGAGAGGGCGCGACGGACGACGACUGGAACUGAAACACGGUCCAGACUCCUACGGGAGGCAGCAGUGGGGAAUUUGCGCAAUGGGGGAAACCCUGACGCAGCAACGCCGCGUGGAGGAUGAAAUCCCUUGGGAUGUAAACUCCUUUCGAUAGGGAAGAUAAUGACGGUACCUAUAGAAGAAGCCCCGGCUAACUUCGUGCCAGCAGCCGC